UAACGAAUAGUUUAAUAAAAACAUUGAUUUGUGGUAUCAAGGAUGACCUUUAUAGGUUUUCGUUAU
This 66-nucleotide transfer RNA is filed under the name Laemobothrion sp. RNAcentral describes it as "tRNA-His". Lineage: Eukaryota; Metazoa; Arthropoda; Insecta; Psocodea; Laemobothriidae. The record is from RNAcentral.